RNAcentral lists this ribosomal RNA (305 nucleotides) under uncultured bacterium. RNAcentral's name for it is "bacterial SSU rRNA". It matches the Rfam family "Bacterial small subunit ribosomal RNA", at positions 335 to 657 of the family's 1533-position model. The record is from RNAcentral.
GGCCUACGGGACGCAGCAGUGGGGAAUAUUGCACAAUGGGGGAAACCCUGAUGCAGCGACGCCGCGUGGGCGAGGAAGUACCUCGGUAUGUAAAGCCCUAUCAGCAGGGAAGAAACAGGACAGUACCUGACUAAGAAGCCCCGGCUAACUACGUGCCAGCAGCCGCGGUAAUACGUAGGGGGCAAGCGUUAUCCGGAUUUACUGGGUGUAAAGGGAGCGUAGACGGCAUUGCAAGUCUGAUGUGAAAGAUUGGGACUCAACCCCAGGCCUGCAUUGGAAACUGUAAAGCUGGAGUACAGGAGAGG